Schizosaccharomyces pombe (fission yeast) is the source of this 446-nucleotide non-coding RNA. NCBI's taxonomy places the organism in Eukaryota, Fungi, Ascomycota, Schizosaccharomycetes, Schizosaccharomycetales, Schizosaccharomycetaceae. The record is from the annotation of a GenBank genome assembly.
UUAAAAAAAAUAAAACCCCCCCCCCACGGGACCAAGCGGAAUCAAAAUGAUAAAUGCCCAAUUUCAAUAUAGAAAUGAAGUUCAUCGGAUUUCAUAUUUCAUUCAAAUUUUGGCAGUACAUCCUUUAUUACAUGUCAACCUUGGGACAUACAGUCGUAAAGUUGCCCCAUUCAUUUUUUCGAGGUCAAGGAAACGCCGGCAUCAAGUCAUCAUAAAAUAUGGCCUUGUUUGGAAAAAGAAUGAAAAUACUGAUAGUCGAGCUGCCUAUAUGUAACAUCAAAUUUCCACCCUAAGAAUACAUGAGUAAUAAUUGUCGCUCUCAGUGAAUGACUAAUAACAAUACAUAGGUUUCACUAUCAUAGCUAUGGAAUAGUAGCAAUGUAUUUAAUUCAAUAGUAUCAGACAAUUCGUCGACCCAGAAAUGCGGAAUAAAUUACCUCAAAAAA